GUACACAAAAAUGCACAUAUUGUGAGCUCGAUGAGUAGGGCGGGACACGUGGUAUCCUGUCUGAAUAUGGGGGGACCAUCCUCCAAGGCUAAAUACUCCUGACUGACCGAUAGUGAACCAGUACCGUGAGGGAAAGGCGAAAAGAACCCCGGCGAGGGGAGUGAAAAAGAACCUGAAACCGUGUACGUACAAGCAGUGGGAGCCUCUUAAUGGGGUGACUGCGUACCUUUUGUAUAAUGGGUCAGCGACUUAUAUUCUGUAGCAAGGUUAACCGAAUAGGGGAGCCGAAGGGAAACCGAGUCUUAACUGGGCGUUAAGUUGCAGGGUAUAGACCCGAAACCCGGUGAUCUAGCCAUGGGCAGGUUGAAGGUUGGGUAACACUAACUGGAGGACCGAACCGACUAAUGUUGAAAAAUUAGCGGAUGACUUGUGGCUGGGGGUGAAAGGCCAAUCAAACCGGGAGAUAGCUGGUUCUCCCCGAAAGCUAUUUAGGUAGCGCCUCGUGAAUUCAUCUCCGGGGGUAGAGCACUGUUUCGGCAAGGGGGUCAUCCCGACUUACCAACCCGAUGCAAACUGCGAAUACCGGAGAAUGUUAUCACGGGAGACACACGGCGGGUGCUAACGUCCGUCGUGAAGAGGGAAACAACCCAGACCGCCAGCUAAGGUCCCAAAGUCAUGGUUAAGUGGGAAACGAUGUGGGAAGGCCCAGACAGCCAGGAUGUUGGCUUAGAAGCAGCCAUCAUUUAAAGAAAGCGUAAUAGCUCACUGGUCGAGUCGGCCUGCGCGGAAGAUGUAACGGGGCUAAACCAUGCACCGAAGCUGCGGCAGCGACGCUUAUGCGUUGUUGGGUAGGGGAGCGUUCUGUAAGCCUGUGAAGGUGUGCUGUGAGGCAUGCUGGAGGUAUCAGAAGUGCGAAUGC
This 919-nucleotide ribosomal RNA is filed under the name Escherichia coli. Its description in RNAcentral is "partial 23S ribosomal RNA". It matches the Rfam family "Bacterial large subunit ribosomal RNA", at positions 375 to 1297 of the family's 2925-position model. Lineage: Bacteria; Pseudomonadati; Pseudomonadota; Gammaproteobacteria; Enterobacterales; Enterobacteriaceae. The record is from RNAcentral.